GCUCCAUCUCCUUCUUCCAUCUCCUCCAAUUCCCUUACCCAAAAUCAAAACUACCUCCAAAAGACCCCAUCUUCUUCUUCAAUGAUCAACCUUAAUUUAAAGGCGGUGUCUCUAGUUUCGGGGCGGGGGGGGGGGGGGGGGGGGGGGGGGGGGGGGAGGCAAGGAAUAGAAGCCACGGUCCCAUUCUAAAAAACCCACGUCAGAGAAUACUGGUUUGUCGUCAAUGCCUGUAGUUGCUGGUGGGAAGUUUCAACGAUUGUAUCUGCUACAGUCUGAGAACCUUGAUUUUCAAGCGAAGAGUGGACUGGGGAUGUCGUCGGUGGUUGUUUAUAACAGAUAGGUGAAGGAGUUGACACCAGGUGUAACUAAGGUGGGGGCAGUGGGGGUGAUAUUGUUGGGCUGGAGGAGGGUUAUAGCUAUUGUCCGAAUGAAGUGGACAGAGAGGAAAUCGCAAUGGUGUUGACGACUGGCAAUUGAGUGAAGGUGAUUUUGAUUUUGGG
Molecule: long non-coding RNA, 500 nt
Filed under: Olea europaea subsp. europaea
Lineage: Eukaryota; Viridiplantae; Streptophyta; Magnoliopsida; Lamiales; Oleaceae
Source: RNAcentral